CCCUUAGAUGUCCUGGGCUGCACGCGCGCUACACUGAUGUGUCCAGUAAGCACCUAACCUCUUCCGAAAGGAACGGGUAACCUUUGCAAAGCACAUCGUGAUGGGGAUAGAUUAUUGCAAUUAUUAGUCUUGAACGAGGAAUUCCUAGUAAGCACAAGUCAUCAGCUUGUGUUGAUUACGUCCCUGCCCUUUGUACACACCGCCCGUCGCUCCUACCGAUUGUAUGUUCCGGUGAGCUCUUCGGACUGCGCGGUCUGCAGUUUCUGCGUUCCGUGCGGAAAGUUGCGCAAACCUUAACAUUUAGAGGAAGGAGAAGUCGUAACA
This 324-nucleotide ribosomal RNA is filed under the name uncultured eukaryote. Its description in RNAcentral is "partial 18S ribosomal RNA". It matches the Rfam family "Eukaryotic small subunit ribosomal RNA", at positions 1470 to 1796 of the family's 1831-position model. The record is from RNAcentral.